UGGGGAAUCUUGCACAAUGGGCGAAAGCCUGAUGCAGCGACGCCGCGUGAGCGAUGAAGGCCUUCGGGUUGUAAAGCUCUGUGGGGAGGGACGAAUAAGGGUUGGCUAAUAUCCAAUCUGAUGACGGUACCUCCUUAGCAAGCACCGGCUAACUCUGUGCCAGCAGCCGCGGUAAGACAGAGGGUGCAAACGUUGUUCGGAAUUACUGGGCGUAAAGCGCGUAUAGGCGGCUACGUAAGUCGGACGUGAAAGCCCACGGCUCAACUGUGGAAGAGCGCUCGAAACUGUGUAGCUUGAGUCUUGGAGAGGAAGGCGGAAUACUUGGUGUAGAGGUGAAAUUCGUAGAGACCAGGUAGAACACCAGUGGCGAAGGCGGCCUUCUGGACAAUGACUGACGCUGAGACGCGAAAGCGUGGGGAGCAAACAGGAUUAGAUACCCUGGUAGUCCACGCCGUAAACGAUGAGUGCUAGGUGUCACGAGCUUUGACCCUCGUGGUGCCGAAGCUAACGCGUUAAGCACUCCGCCUGGGGAGUACGGCCGCAAGGCUA
Molecule: ribosomal RNA, 549 nt
Filed under: uncultured bacterium
Lineage: Bacteria
Description: bacterial SSU rRNA
Rfam family: Bacterial small subunit ribosomal RNA
Source: RNAcentral